UGGUGGAGUGAUUUGUCUGGUUAAUUCCGUUAACGAACGAGACCUCGACCUGCUAAAUAGUCUUUCUAACCCCUCGGGGUUGGGCGAUGACUUCUUAGAGGGACUAUCGGUGUCUAGCCGAUGGAAGUUCGAGGCAAUAACA
This 142-nucleotide ribosomal RNA is filed under the name uncultured eukaryote. RNAcentral describes it as "partial 18S ribosomal RNA". It matches the Rfam family "Eukaryotic small subunit ribosomal RNA", at positions 1299 to 1458 of the family's 1831-position model. The record is from RNAcentral.